CAAAUAAGUUGGCUCAACCAGCAUAGGGCAGUGGAGUACUAUGAAACUAGAGUGCGGUAGAGGUAGAGGGAAUUCCUAGCGUAACAGUGAAAUGUGUAGAUUUUAGGGAGAACACCAGCGGCGAAGGCGCUCUACUGGGCCGUGACUGACACUGAGAGACGAAAGCUAAGGGAGAGAAAAGGCUAACUCGCGAGAGCUUSCCAMUCUGUUAAACUCAACCUCAGUUCGGAUUGUAGGCUGCAACUCGCCUACAUGAAGCCGGAAUCGCUAGUAAUC
Molecule: ribosomal RNA, 276 nt
Filed under: Haematococcus lacustris
Lineage: Eukaryota; Viridiplantae; Chlorophyta; Chlorophyceae; Chlamydomonadales; Haematococcaceae
Description: partial small subunit ribosomal RNA
Source: RNAcentral